RNAcentral lists this long non-coding RNA (730 nucleotides) under Citrus x clementina. RNAcentral's name for it is "Citrus clementina (C. clementina) long non-coding RNA (CCLE_LNC000163)". Lineage: Eukaryota; Viridiplantae; Streptophyta; Magnoliopsida; Sapindales; Rutaceae. The record is from RNAcentral.
GAAAACAGGUUAUGUUACGGUAGUCACUAGACAGUAGGCAAAACACUUGAUAACUAAAUAUAUAAAAAGAAAUAAAAAAGAGUUAAAAAAAAUUACAAAAGUUAAAAUCGAAAAAACAAAAAGAUUAAAAAUGAAACUGCUUGUGAAAAAUGAAAAUAUCAAACCCCCUUCUUCAGAACAAUUCAAAGAGGGAGUUGCUGGUUCUUAAUGCAACAGUAAGUAACAUGCCACUGAAACCCCAACCUUUAAACAUAGAACUUGAACUCAGGAAGAGAUAAAAGAAAAAGACAUAGAUGACUGACUGAGUCCGACUGAAAGAGAGUUAAAAAGAAAUAAAAAAGAGUUAAAAAAGAAAUAAAAAAGAGUUAAAAAAAUUACAAAAGUUAAAAUCGAAAAUACAAAAAGAUUAAAAAUGAAACUGCUUGUGAAAAAUGAAAAUAUCAAACCCCCUUAUUCAGAACAAUUCAAAGAGGGAGUUGCUGGUUCUUAAUGCAACAGUAAGUAACAUGCCACUGAAACCCCAACCUUUAAACAUAGAACUUGAACUCAGGAAGAGAUAAAAGAAAAAGACAUAGAUGACUGACUGAGUCCGACUGAAAGAGAGUCGCCAAUAUACCGUACUGGUCAGCUCCCAGUUGAAUUUGCAAGGUUGGGUUCGAGUCCCAGUCCCACAGGUAGUGAAAGUAGGUAGGUAUCGUAAGUUCCUACUAACCAGCUGGAGUAUCAAAAC